CCUACGGGAGGCAGCAGUGAGGAAUAUUGGUCAAUGGCCGCAGGGCUGAACCAGCCAAGUCGCGUGAGGGAUGACGGUCCUAUGGAUUGUAAACCUCUUUUGUCAGGGAGCAAAGGGCGCCACGUGUGGCGUUUUGCGAGUACCUGAAGAAAAAGCAUCGGCUAACUCCGUGCCAGCAGCCGCGGUAAUACGGAGGAUGCGAGCGUUAUCCGGAUUUAUUGGGUUUAAAGGGUGCGCAGGCGGAAUGUCAAGUCAGCGGUAAAAUUUUGGGGCUCAACCCCGUCGUGCCGUUGAAACUGGCGGUCUUGAGUGAGCGAGAGGUAUGCGGAAUGCGUGGUGUAGCGGUGAAAUGCAUAGAUAUCACGCAGAACUCCGAUUGCGAAGGCAGCAUACCGGCGCUCAACUGACGCUCAUGCACGAAAGCGUGGGUAUCGAACAGGAUUAGAUACCCCGGUAGUC
This 459-nucleotide ribosomal RNA is filed under the name uncultured bacterium. RNAcentral describes it as "partial 16S ribosomal RNA". It matches the Rfam family "Bacterial small subunit ribosomal RNA", at positions 338 to 795 of the family's 1533-position model. The record is from RNAcentral.